This 253-nucleotide ribosomal RNA is filed under the name uncultured bacterium. RNAcentral's name for it is "partial 16S ribosomal RNA". It matches the Rfam family "Bacterial small subunit ribosomal RNA", at positions 524 to 776 of the family's 1533-position model. The record is from RNAcentral.
UACGUAGGGUGCAAGCGUUGUUCGGAAUCACUGGGCGUAAAGCGCGUGUAGGCGGCUUCUUAAGUCUGGUGUGAAAGCCCGGGGCUUACCCCCGGAAGUGCACUGGAGACUGGGAGGCUAGAGUACCGGAGAGGAAGGUGGAAUUCCUGGUGUAGCGGUGAAAUGCGUAGAUAUCAGGAGGAACACCGGUGGCGAAGGCGGCCUUCUGGACGGCUACUGACGCUGAGACGCGAAAGCGUGGGGAGCAAACAGG